This 254-nucleotide ribosomal RNA is filed under the name uncultured bacterium. RNAcentral's name for it is "partial 16S ribosomal RNA". It matches the Rfam family "Bacterial small subunit ribosomal RNA", at positions 524 to 776 of the family's 1533-position model. The record is from RNAcentral.
UACGGGGGGAGCAAGCGUUGUUCGGAUUUACUGGGCGUAAAGGGCGCGUAGGCGGCCACCGCAAGUCGGUUGUGAAAUCUCCGGGCUUAACCCGGAAAGGUCAAUCGAUACUGCGGGGCUAGAGUGCAGAAGGGGCAACUGGAAUUCUCGGUGUAGCGGUGAAAUGCGUAGAUAUUGGGAGGAACACCGGUGGCGAAGGCGGCUACCUGGACCGGUUCUGACGCUGAUGCGCGAAAGCGUGGGGAGCAAACAGG